RNAcentral lists this long non-coding RNA (329 nucleotides) under Capra hircus (goat). RNAcentral's name for it is "lncRNA (ENSCHIG00000001207.1)". Lineage: Eukaryota; Metazoa; Chordata; Mammalia; Artiodactyla; Bovidae. The record is from RNAcentral.
UGAGAUCAUAGCUCUUUGACCGGGGGUCAAACCCUCACCCCCAGCACUGGGAAGGCAAACUCUUAACCGCUAGACUGCCAGAGAAGUCCCUUAACUCCUUGCUUUAUUCUAACUACUCCCCUCAAGAAGGGCCCAACUUUCUAGAUCAAGCAGUUUCCUGGUUGUCACACCAUAGUCAAGGCCGGCCUGCCAAGGAGGGAGCCACUUCUGCUGCCUAGGACCUGUAUGGAGAUGUCUCACCGUGGAGGAAGGAGGGGACACUUUGAGCUGGGUGUAGAAGAAUCAGUCGGAUCCUGUCAUCCAGAUAAAGGUGAGUAGGAGGGAUAUUU